Molecule: ribosomal RNA, 447 nt
Filed under: uncultured bacterium
Lineage: Bacteria
Description: partial 16S ribosomal RNA
Rfam family: Bacterial small subunit ribosomal RNA
Source: RNAcentral
UCCAGACUCCUACGGGAGGCAGCAGUGGGGAAUAUUGCACAAUGGGGGAAACCCUGAUGCAGCGACGCCGCGUGGGCGAUGGAGUACUUCGGUAUGUAAAGCCCUAUCAGCAGGGAAGAAAAUGACGGUACCUGACUAAGAAGCCCCGGCUAAAUACGUGCCAGCAGCCGCGGUAAUACGUAUGGGGCAAGCGUUAUCCGGAUUUACUGGGUGUAAAGGGAGCGUAGGCGGCCUGGCAAGCCUGAUGUGAAAUACCGGGGCCCAACCCCGGGGCUGCAUUGGGAACUGCCAGGCUGGAGUGCCGGAGAGGCAGGCGGAAUUCCUAGUGUAGCGGUGAAAUGCGUAGAUAUUAGGAGGAACACCAGUGGCGAAGGCGGCCUGCUGGACCGUAACUGACGUUGAGGCUCGAAAGCGUGGGGAGCAAACAGGAUUAGAUACCCCUGUACU